CAGCCGCCACGGUAAUACGUAGGGUGUGAGCGUUAAUCGGAAUUACUGGGCGUAAAGCGUGCGCAGGCGGUUAUAUAAGACAGAUGUGAAAUCCCCGGGCUCAACCUGGGACCUGCAUUUGUGACUGUAUAGCUAGAGUACGGUAGAGGGGGAUGGAAUUCCGCGUGUAGCAGUGAAAUGCGUAGAUAUGCGGAGGAACACCGAUGGCGAAGGCAAUCCCCUGGACCUGUACUGACGCUCAUGCACGAAAGCGUGGGGAGCAAACAGGAUUAGAUACCCCCGUAGUCCCUGUCUCUUAUAC
Molecule: ribosomal RNA, 301 nt
Filed under: uncultured bacterium
Lineage: Bacteria
Description: partial 16S ribosomal RNA
Rfam family: Bacterial small subunit ribosomal RNA
Source: RNAcentral